RNAcentral lists this unclassified non-coding RNA (383 nucleotides) under uncultured Fomitiporia. RNAcentral's name for it is "sequence contains ITS1". The stretch from base 1 to 105 matches the Rfam family "5.8S ribosomal RNA", at positions 50 to 154 of the family's 154-position model. Lineage: Eukaryota; Fungi; Basidiomycota; Agaricomycetes; Hymenochaetales; Hymenochaetaceae. The record is from RNAcentral.
GAAAUGCGAUAAGUAAUGUGAAUUGCAGAAUUCAGUGAAUCAUCGAAUCUUUGAACGCACCUUGCGCCCCUUGGUAUUCCGAGGGGCAUGCCUGUUUGAGUGUCAUGUAAUUCUCAAUCCUCUUUUUCUUAAUUGAAGAAGGGGCUUGGACUUGGAGGGUAUAUAUAUAUGCUGGUACUGUUUGUAUCGGCUCCUCUCAAAUGCAUUAGCUGGACUGUAGUUCGCAUUGUUUGGUGUAAUAGUUUUCUAUCUAUAUUCACUGCAGUGCUUGCUUAAACUGUCUGCUUCUAAUAGUCUGCCUAUGUGUCAGACAGGUACUUUGUUACCUUAAACCAUUUGACUCCUUUGACCUCAAAUCAGGUAGGACUACCCGCUGAACUUAA